UACGUAGGGGUCGAGCGUUGUCCGGAGUUACUGGGCGUAAAGCGUGCGCAGGUGGCUCAUUGCGCCCGGCGUGAAAGCCCCCGGCUCAACCGGGGAGGGUCGUCGGGGACGGGUGAGCUUGAGGGUAGCAGGGGCUGGUGGAACUCCCGGUGUAGUGGUGAAAUGCGUAGAGAUCGGGAAGAACACCCGUGGCGAAGGCGGCCAGCUGGGCUACACCUGACACUGAGGCACGAAGGCGUGGGGAGCGAACGGGAUUAGAAACCCUAGUAGUCC
Molecule: ribosomal RNA, 273 nt
Filed under: uncultured prokaryote
Description: partial 16S ribosomal RNA
Rfam family: Bacterial small subunit ribosomal RNA
Source: RNAcentral